Molecule: long non-coding RNA, 1802 nt
Organism: Etheostoma spectabile (orangethroat darter)
Lineage: Eukaryota; Metazoa; Chordata; Actinopteri; Perciformes; Percidae
Exons: 4
Source: RefSeq, a predicted model, not a curated record
CAUACUGCUUCCUUUUCUUCCGUAAACACAGAGCAGACACGGAGCAGCGGGAGCUAGCGGCAGAAAUGAGCCAAAACGCGAUGAAUUAUGGACAUAAAGUGGAUCAAUCUUGGAUGUAACGAUCCAGAAAAAAGCCAAAAGUUCCAGGCUGGGUAGAAAAUCACCUGUAGAGGCUAGAAAGACCCGGAAGCGACCUCCGGAACCGCUAAUGCGUUACGUUUAAGCCGCAAUUUAUGGGAGCACAACUUGAGAGGUCCCUGCAUGGUGCUACACCAAACCUGAGGACCAUGGACGCCAAGGAAGAUGGAAGAUGCCAUGCGUCUUGAUGUCCUGGGUGUCAACCGAGAACAGAUUAAAAAGGGUCCCUGGGAUUGAAGAGGGGCAUAAAUCUGACAACUGCUGGGUCCAUUUUGGGUCGGAUGAUUCGUCGCGGGCGCUGCGAGGUCUGGACCCAAAUGCAGAGAGGAGGCAAGGAUUUAUUUAACAUGACUUUGUGUUAUCCGCUCACCGCGGCUUAAUCGGUUGCAUGUUUGCCGAGCCAGGAUGAGAAGGAGAAGCUAUGUCCAGCCAGGUGUAGACAGCUGGGAUAAGGGCACGUUCACGGCUUUCUUAACUAGACCACGGUACCCAUCACAGAUGUACUGAUGCAGGAUGGAGAAGACCUUUGUUCAAACUUUAUACAGAGUGAGAAGCAACUUCUUGUGGAAGUAUGAUAAUGUGAAACACAUCAUUUGUAAAAAGGAAACAGGGCCGCUGUAAUGAAACAGUGAGAGAAAGCGUGGCAGAUGAUCACACUGAAGAAAUUGGACUCUAAAAUCUAGAAGCUAUAAAGAUAAUUAAGUGAUAAAUAAACAGGAAUGUAACAGUCUAUUCAUCUGUUAUUCUUCCCCCAGCAAAAUAUAAUGUCAAAAACCAAUGGGGUGUCCUCUCCCUGUUGUUACAGGAAUGUACAGUACACUUCAACACUAGAUAAUUAUUGGUCUAGUCAAUUAAGACAAUAAUUUUGUUUUGGAAAUGCUCUUAAAAUUCUACAAUCCUUCUGACUUUUGGGGUUUUAAACAGGAGGUGUCAGAAAAGUUACCUUUGGGAUUCUGACUUAGAGGCGUUCAGUCUUUAUUAAUAAUGAUAAUCAUAAUAUUGUUCGUAAACAGAGUUUUUCCACCUACGUUUAAAAAAGAAAAUGUCAUCUACACAAGCAAGGUUUAAAAAAAACCUCUGUCCACAUUAAAUGCAAAAACACGCUAUGAAGCGCUGUCAAGAGCAUGCUGAUCCAACAGGUGGCAAUGUAACCAUGUUGGCCAAUCAGAAGCCUGAAGUUCCAGAAGGCUAACAACAAGGCACACUGAGGACGGGGAGAGUCAAAUGUGUGGACUGAUGAUGGCGUUCAGUUAUUCCUUAAUGGCAAACUUUAAUACAAAGUUAGCAAAACCCAGGAAAAACAUGUUCUGGGAGUCUUGCCGAUAUCCUAGCUCUUUUUCUUGAGCAGCCAUUAAGCCUUUCUUUGGCUUUGUCUGCCACUGCAGAUACUCGCCUCAUGCAAACAAAGGAGACAACGGUGCGCACUCUGACGUCACGAGCCAAAAUCUCCGGUUUCACCGGCUACAUAACACCGAUGCAACCAGAGAUUCUGAAAAUCUUCACCCUGGCAGGAAGGUUUUUAACCCUCUGGGCCCUGAGGCCAUUUUUGCAGUUUAAUUUCCGUCUGGAUUUAUUUUAUAAAAAAGCUUGUAAAACAUCAACCCUGUUGUCUACAGUCAAGAUAUGAACAUCAUUUUUUUUAGGACAAACUGGGUUAUUGGAAU